ACUGAACGCCGUGCAGACCAAGCGCCUUCCAGGCCUGCAGGGGAGAAGUGAGUCUCCUGCAGCGUACACACUUGCAGCGAGGACUCGUCGAGGAGACGGGACAACCAACGCCGUGUGGCGUCGUCCUGCCCACUGCGAUUCCGGUGCAUGCAGAGCGGGCCGUUGCCGCGAUCACGCUCCACACCACCGCAACGCAGCAAAGGCAGCAAAGGCAGAAAAGCGGUGGGCGCCUGCGCGCAUAUGUGGUGAGCCGUCAGCGCGACUCGUCGUGAGCCGGUCCAAGCGCGAUCAUGGCCGCACGUCUCCUCGGCACCGCGCCAGCCAAGCGCUGUCCGCCGACACCAAGAGGCCGCAGCCGUGCCCGGCGGCCGGGCUGCAGGCUCUUGGCCUCCCCACACAAAGUCGGGGUAAUCUUAAUAUGAUGCACUGAAGUGGUCUGUAUGAACAGGGCUUGCUGAGGUCUUUAAGCAAAACGAUAUGCGUGGUGCAACAAGUUUCAUUUUUCGUGCCUCCCCCCCUCUUUUCAAGAGGGAAGUGCUUCUCGUCGAUGGCGCGAACGGAGAGCUGCCAGGUUGUGCGCAAAAGCUGAUUCAAAGCAGGCAACGGCGAAUGCUCUGCUCUAGAAAGAGAGACCACGUUGCGUGCGGCAGCAGCGAAGGCGCAAGCGGAGGUGGUGGGUCUGCAUUCGAUCCCUCUCUCUAUGCUGAUUUCUUACCGGUACGUCGAAGGCCUUGACUUGUCUCCCAUCGCUCUUGUCUUCACUUCUACACAAUCGCAUGUGCAAACGCGGCUGCCAG
This 797-nucleotide unclassified non-coding RNA is filed under the name Leishmania donovani. Its description in RNAcentral is "gene:unknown". Lineage: Eukaryota; Euglenozoa; Kinetoplastea; Trypanosomatida; Trypanosomatidae. The record is from RNAcentral.